Myotis lucifugus (little brown bat) is the source of this 834-nucleotide long non-coding RNA. RefSeq lists it as uncharacterized. The transcript has 2 exons. NCBI's taxonomy places the organism in Eukaryota, Metazoa, Chordata, Mammalia, Chiroptera, Vespertilionidae. The record is from RefSeq and is a predicted model, not a curated record.
UCCAAAAAUUCGGUAUCAGAUGGUGUGUUGGCUGGGGAUUUCUCCCCAAGUCAGUCAACCCUCUUCACGGCGAAUGGAAAUUCAUUUUAUUACAACAGCAUUCACAUCUGCAACAGAAUAACCAAACCACCAUCCAUCCAGCAAAAAAGAAAGAAAAAAGCUGAGAUUUAAGGACACUUGCUUCUUUUGAACUUCAGGAGCAGGAGCAGGUCGGUUCUCAUAAUGCUCCUGCCAAUAUCAUGCAACAGGAGACGGAGACCAGGGAGACUGGGGAGUCGGGGGAGGUACCAUGGGCCUUCAAGAACUUCUCCAGUUGUUUCAUCUUCUUAUCUCGGGCACAGUUUUCCCGGCGCCUUGCUGCCAGGCUCAGGAGCAUGCUUUUCACCCUAUUUUGGACACGGGGCUGUCCGAAAACAGUGAUUUCAAUUAAGCUCCCGGAGUUCACCUUUUCCACCGUCAGCAGGACCUGGUUCGUCCACUCUAUUUCUGGAAUCGUGACUCCAUUUUUUGCCGAAGAUGGGGUCAGCCAGACAUGCCUCCAGGUAAAACACCAAUCUACUCACACACAUCUACUCACAUGUACAUUCACACAUAAGCAACAUCUGUCUUGGGCACUCACACUUCCUCCCCCAGGCAUCAUGGUUACACACAUGCGUGAAUGGGCCAAUACACUGCACUCUUUUUUUUUUUUUUUUUUACAUUUCAUUCAGGAUUUCUUUCUAUGGCAUAUACAUACAUCAAUUUUACAUAAUCGUUAUCCUUUAUUUGUCUUGUUUUAUAACCUUUGUUUCAUACUUAAAAUCUUUUUUUUAAUUAAAUCUUUAUUGUUCAGAU